GUCGAACGCUUCUUUCCUCCCGAGUGCUUGCACUCAAUUGGAAAGAGGAGUGGCGGACGGGUGAGUAACACGUGGGUAACCUACCCAUCAGAGGGGGAUAACACUUGGAAACAGGUGCUAAUACCGCAUAACAGUUUAUGCCGCAUGGCAUAAGAGUGAAAGGCGCUUUCGGGUGUCGCUGAUGGAUGGACCCGCGGUGCAUUAGCUAGUUGGUGAGGUAACGGCUCACCAAGGCCACGAUGCAUAGCCGACCUGAGAGGGUG
Molecule: ribosomal RNA, 263 nt
Filed under: Enterococcus faecalis
Lineage: Bacteria; Bacillati; Bacillota; Bacilli; Lactobacillales; Enterococcaceae
Description: partial 16S rRNA
Rfam family: Bacterial small subunit ribosomal RNA
Source: RNAcentral